CGAGAAAGCCCGCAAGGGUGAGUAAAGCGGCGCACGGGUGCGUAACACGUGGGUAAUCUGCCCUAGAGUCCGGAAUAACUCGUCGAAAGGCGUGCUAAUGCCGGAUGAGACCACGGGAGCCUCGGCUCCUGCGGGAAAAGGUGGCCUCUGUACACAAGCUAUCGCUCUAGGAUGAGCCCGCGGCCCAUCAGCUAGUUGGCGGGGUAAUGGCCCACCAAGGCUACGACGGGUAGCUGGUCUGAGAGGACGAUCAGCCACACUGGAACUGAGACACGGUCCAGACUCCUACGGGAGGCAGCAGUGGGGAAUCUUGCGCAAUGGGCGAAAGCCUGACGCAGCAACGCCGCGUGUGUGAUGAAGGUCUUCGGAUCGUAAAGCACUGUCGCGAGGGACG
Molecule: ribosomal RNA, 394 nt
Filed under: uncultured Anaeromyxobacter sp.
Lineage: Bacteria; Pseudomonadati; Myxococcota; Myxococcia; Myxococcales; Anaeromyxobacteraceae
Description: bacterial SSU rRNA
Rfam family: Bacterial small subunit ribosomal RNA
Source: RNAcentral